This 440-nucleotide ribosomal RNA is filed under the name uncultured bacterium. RNAcentral's name for it is "partial 16S ribosomal RNA". It matches the Rfam family "Bacterial small subunit ribosomal RNA", at positions 338 to 795 of the family's 1533-position model. The record is from RNAcentral.
CCUACGGGGGGCAGCAGUGGGGAAUAUUGCACAAUGGGGGAAACCCUGAUGCAGCGACGCCGCGUGAAGGAUGAAGUAUUUCGGUAUGUAAACUUCUAUCAGCAGGGAAGAAAAUGACGGUACCUGACUAAGAAGCCCCGGCUAACUACGUGCCAGCAGCCGCGGUAAUACGUAGGGGGCAAGCGUUAUCCGGAAUUACUGGGUGUAAAGGGAGCGUAGACGGUGAUGUAAGUCUGGAGUGAAAGGCGGGGGCCCAACCCCCGGACUGCUCUGGAAACUAUGUGACUGGAGUGCAGGAGAGGUGAGCGGAAUUCCUAGUGUAGCGGUGAAAUGCUUAGAUAUCACGAAGAACCCCGAUUGCGAAGGCAGCUUACUAAACUGUGACUGACAUUGAUGCUCGAAAGUGUGGGUAUCAAACAGGAUUAGAUACCCGUGUAGUC